UAGGAAGAUUGAUAUUUUCACACAUGCUUUAGAAGUGAUAGUGGGUAUGAAAUCAUUUGAUUGGCUACAAUUGUUGUAAAAAAACUCGUGGAACGUGCGCAUAGUAGAAGAUGGAAGAACCUUAGAGGAUGGAUGGAUUUAAUGAGGCUUUGGGUGGGAGAGAGAAAAAUAAGAAUGAGAUAGAGAGAGAAUGAGUUCUUAAUAAUGAAGGAAGAUAGUGUGUGAGAGAAUGGUGAGUGGAGCAUGAUAAAAAAACAGAAAAAAAGAAGGAAAUGCCACGUGUACAGUAAAAAGGAGAUAAGAGCUUGUAGAAUGCCAUGUGGAAUUCCACUAAGUCUAAGAUUGCAUGAGAGAGCAGAAUGCUUGUGGUUGCGACACAUCAGCAUUUGGUCCUUUGAACCUUUACUCUUUUAAUGGUAUUAUUGAUUGAUUGAUUGAUUGAUACCCUACAGUCACUCACACACCACUCCAAUUUCACCCCCAAUUUCAAGAACGAUGAUGAUAAUAUAGCCGUUGGUUGUGGCGCGAAGAAGAAUCAACAGAGGGAUACGGUUAGGGUUUCCAAGAUUUUCAACAUUGUCUGUCACAUACGCUUCUGCUUCUUCUGUGCUUGGUUUUCGGGGGCAUGCUGGGGAAGCUAUUACAUAUGGAUCUCUUCUUCUUAAAGUUCUGGAUGCUUGUCUUAUAGCCUGGAAGACAAAAUUGUAGUGUAUGUAGUGGCCCCAUUGAUGCCACCGGAAAUGCUCGAUUUCAUGAGGAUCAAAAUUUGGUUCAUUUUUGACACGCUGCUUCUUCCAACAACUUAUAUCUGGUGUUAGUUAUUGUCCUGCAAUGGUAUGCCAUCGUGACUUGAAGUGGUAAAAUACAUUGUUGGAUGGUAGUCCAGCUCCUCGUUUGGAAAUUUCUGAUUUUGGCUAUUCAAAUUAAAGAGUUGGUCAGUGUUUGUGCCUGGCAGAGAAAGUUUGAUUGGUGUUAGCAAAAUGAUCCUUAUACGGUUGGAGAACGUUGUUAUGUGCUUCACUUUCUCCCCACACUCGCAGACAUUUGCAGCACUAUGACAGAGGGUGUCGCGGUCGCCAAGUUGUGGAAGAUGAGAUACAAGAGGUUCUUGUGAUUAAUGCCAGAAGGUUCACAGACUGCAGUUUGGAUACGAGAAUUCUAUUGAUGUACUUCAAAUUUAUAUUGGUGAUGAUUGAAUUGAUGAGUAUGCUUUAAGGUUUUCGUAGUGACACUUCAAGGGAUUGGGAUUCUUGUUUCUAGAGUUCCAAAGGAGACAAGCUUCCUACAAGUUCCUUGCAAUAUCCAUUAGAGGCAAGCCCUGAAGAAGGUAAAUGAAUACGGUGCGGUAGAAAUUUGGAUGAAUGAGAGAGUAUGAAGAGCUUGUGCAAACAGCUGUGCAUAUUUUGUUUAUGGCUUUCUUGAGAGUUCCACUAUGAAGGCUGCUGAAUACUGACUCAUAUGGCAGUUUGAGGGGAUUCCACCUUAUCUGAUUUGAUGCAGAGUAGAGAGCUUCCAAUACCUCUUGAUGGUGCCACAAAUUUCAGGUAGAAACAUUGAUUUUGGGUAAGAUCAAAGACUUGACCAAGGGAUUGGAAAGAGAAAAUAGAAUAAUUCAAACAAUUAUGAGGCAGCUCUUAUUUGCACUGGAUGGUCUUCACUCAACUGGUAUUGUGCAUAGGGAUAUUAAGCCACAAAACAUUAUUUUCUAUGAAGGGUCUCGUAUAUUCAAAAUCAUUGAUCUUGGAGCUGCUACUGAUCUCCGAGUUGGCAUCAACUACAUUCCCAAAGAGUUUCUUUUGGAUCCAAGUUAUAUGCGCCCACCACACUGGCACCUGCUCGGAACUUCUGGUUGUUGGGCUACAAGUCUGGAACAGAAGAGGAUGGUUUUCUGUCUCCUUCAAGCUAUUAGACAAGCAAGCUUGCGGUGCAGAGAUAGCUUCAAAUCUUGUUGAUUUAUUUGGUGGGAUGAGGUGCUGCCAUGGAAGAGGAGGCAAUCAGUAGUGGAAGGACAGAAAUCGUGCUUGCUCUGGAUAGAACUCACCGAAGAUAUCAUCUGCAACGCCCAUUCUUUAUUUAUCGAUAUGCUGCACCAGAACAGUACAAUAUGAGCACACAAAUCCCAUAUGUGUAUCUUCAGCUCCAAUUGUAAAACUGCACUGUUCCCAAUCUCAUGGCAUGUUAAACAUUUCUUAUGAAUGAUCCAUGGCUUUCGAAGAUAAAUAGCUUCCUUUAUCUCGUAAUAAUAUUUCCUGAUGUUACUUAUCAUGGUUUUCUUGUUUCAAACAACGGAAUUUGCUUGACAGAUUUGUUAUUUAUAGUGCUGGACUGCUGGUCUAAUCUUUCUUCAAAUGGGUUUUUUUUUUGCUUAGCAGGCUUUUUUUGUGAUUCUCUGGUUUUUGGGGUUCAGUGGUCCGAUUCUUUUAUCUCAUUGUCUUGGUUUGUGAAGUGUUUGAAGGGACUCCACAAGACCACUUUUAAUCUCACACGUUGUUACAUCUUCUAGUGUGGUUUUUUUUAGUGAAAAGGUGGAAAAGAGAUAAGGAGUGAAACAAGAAAAGAGUGCUCAAUAGAGAAAAAAUCAUAAAAAGUAUGAAACAAUUGUAUUGGCGGGUGAGUGAGAAAAUUAAAAAGAAAAAGUAAGAUUCUCAUGUUGAAUAUUCACUAGUUUUCCAUUUUCCCCAUUUAGUUAAUUUUUCUUUCUUAUUUUCUCCUUUUACAAUUGUAUUGUUUGUAUUAGGAAUUCUCAUUGUAAUUUUUCUUUUUAGAUUGUAUCUAGGAUCAAAUCUUUGUACUUUGUAUUAGGAUAUAGUUUUGUACUUUUCUUUUUCUCUUGUAAGAGGACUUUGGAAAUUCUUUGAGAACCUUUGGUUGAUCCUUACUUAUUUGCUUUGCUUGUUUGUGCAUCAUUAGAAAUAGGAUCUUUUGGAUGAUCCUCUAGGCUAGAAAUAGGACCCUUUGGAGUGGUUCUUUAGUGGUGUUUUUUAUUGCUUUUGUUUUUAGUGUUUCCUUUUGCUUUUUUGGCAUUAUAUCUUCUUGUGAUGGCAAGAAACAACUGUGGGUCUAUAGA
Molecule: long non-coding RNA, 3067 nt
Organism: Lotus japonicus
Lineage: Eukaryota; Viridiplantae; Streptophyta; Magnoliopsida; Fabales; Fabaceae
Exons: 18
Source: RefSeq, a predicted model, not a curated record